ACUGAAAUGGACUGGACUAUAGAGACCCCAGAUUAGGAAAUCCAAGCAGCUGCAAAUGCUGAUGGCCAAGAAUCAGCAGAAAGUAGAGCAACAGCCCAAGCAGAAAGGAGUAGACAAAACCAAGGCAAGUCUCUUAGAGAGAAUUAUUCUAAUUGUUCUAAAGGGCAGGGAAGAGACUCAACUUGGUUAAAAGUGGGGUGGGAGGAGAAGGAAUUUGACUAGGGGUUAUCUACCACUUACACUGGGAGCUGAAGUGAAGAGAGAGGAGAAGAAGAAAAGAAGAAAUUGGUAAUAUCCUGGGCAGAGCUUUUGCUGCUGGGGAAUGAGAGAGGCAAGGGAGAAAGCCCUCUCAAAAGAGGUUAAAGAAGUAUCAAAUCCAGUUCUUGGUAUCAAUUUAUGUUCGUCUACCUAGUCCAAGAAGAUGUGAUGAGAGACUUAAUUUAAAUGUCUGUUAAAAUCAACUUAAAGGAUUCCAUAACAUCCCACUUAUUUGCUGAAGCUUAAUAUAAGUCAGGAACUAUGAAUAGACCCUGCUUUCAAGGAGCUCAUAGUCUUCUAUGAGGGACAACGAAAAAACAACUAUGUGGAAUUAUGCUAGAAAUUAUUUUUUAAAAAAGCAAAUGAAAUUUGUUGGGCAUGUUUCACACUUAGUAUUCUAUGCUGGCUCCUGGUGGUUUUUCCUUCUGUGUUGGAAUUUUUUGAGUGGUGGGUUUUGGGUUUGUUAGUUUUUAUUCUUGUUAUUGUUUUCUGCUUCUGUUUCAAAGUGCUAAAAACCAUUAAUCCUCAGAUUUACCUAUAAAUAUUAAUUUAUUCAGUGUAUAACUUUGGGAAACCGUAUUUUUGACAAGAAGGACAAUACUUUCUAGCCCUAUGAUACCUCUCAUCCUUUUUCAAAGAUUACUUGGGAUUGGUUCUGCCGUUGAAUCUCCAAGUACAAAAGAAUAUAACAUUUCUGGGCUUGGAUAAAACAACUGUAUGCAAUUUUCAAAUCUGGGAGCUUCUGACUACCACUGUUUGUUCUAUCCUGUUCAGUUGGAAGAUCCUUUUCUAUGGAAGAGAAUACAGAAAUAACAGUAGAAAAAUUGAGCUUUCACUGACAUUUGUAAACAAGGCAGCUAGGUGGCACUGUUGGUAGAGAACAUAGCAUUAACUCAUUCUGAGUUAACCUGACUGCCACCAUUUUUACCCAUCAGAGGAAAAAAAAUGAAUGAUGGGUCUUUGUCAAUUAUAUGGCAAUGAGGCUGAAAAAGCAAGAACAGCAGUAGAAUGAGUAAACAGUAAAAGUAAAUAUAAAAUAAUCUCUAAUUAUAAUUAGCAUCUGUCAGUUAAAGGCUUGAAAGCUAAGAAAGAUAAUGGGAAAAUUGGAAAAUCAGAUACAAAUAGUAUUCGUACUUGAAGAAUGUGACAAAGAACUGGGAUUAUUUAUGAUGAUGAAGGAAAGCAUAAAAAUAGUUCAAUAAGAGCCUUCAGGCUUAGAAAGGAUUUUCAAAUAUCAAACAACCAGAUGUUUUCCACAUUCACAGAAGACUGAAUACAAUUUUAAGUAGUUGUGUAACAAAUUUAAUGUUGAUCAAAUAAUGAUAACAGCUAUCAUUUGUAAGAGCUCUUAAGAUUUUCUUACGAUAAGCCUGUGAGUUAUAUAGUGAAAUAGUUAUCACCUCUCCUCUACAGAUGAAAAAACUAAGGCUAAACAAUAUAAAAUAGGGUUGUCCAAUGUUUAAUGGAGAAUGAUAGGAUUUGAAUGUCAAUUUCUUGACUCCAAAUCUAGUCCUUUUUAUUAUGAAUUUAAUAAACAUAAAUAUUUUAGUAUUCAACAACAGAAAGAAGAACACAUAUGGAAAUUUGAAAUUCUAUUAUGAAACUAAAAACAUAUAUGUUGAAUUUAGCACAAUAGUUACAAAACGGCCCUAUUUGGCUCUAUUCUCUUCUGAACUUCCUUCUUUGCUUUUUGGCAUAUUAAAAAAUAUAUAUUUUAUUGGUACUUUGUUCUUUCUUUUCCUCUCUAGUCCUUCUUGGACUAUAACACAAGAAGUCUGUAAAACUUAUUGGGAACCAAUAAUGAGCUUCCAAAUAGCUUAGUAGUUUACUAAGAGAGACUACAGAACCAAUCCAGCAAAUUAUAUGAAAAUACAAAUUAGUCUCUAAAGGUAAAACAGCAACUUUUCUUUUGUGAUUUAAAUGUGAUCCAGUAAAAGAUAAAAGAGAUUGCAACAGUGACUUUACCAAUCCUUCCCUCCUUGCUAAACUUCAGAGGAUUCCUCAUGCUCUUAGAGUAAAAUAUAUACUCUUCUGCCUGUCAUUUAAAGUUUUUACUUUCUCUUCCCAAAGAGCUUUCUAAGCUUUUUGCAACAUUAUCACCUUUGUGCCUCCUGUAUUACAAAGCCAACAGUGCAUUUUCUUCCUUUAUGUCUGUCCUCUAUGCCCAAGAAUGCCUCCCUGCUCAUUCUGUCUUUUAGAAUCACCAUCUUCCUUUUUCAAAGCUCAGUGUAUGUGCUAUUUCUUAUGGCAAAGUAUUUCUGAAUCCACUAUAAUUGUGAGUGCUUUCUUCUCCUCAAAAGUGUUAUUAUAAUAUUUAUCUGUUUACAUGUUAUAUCACCCAGCAGCAAAUAAACACUUUGAGGGCAGAA
This is a long non-coding RNA of Antechinus flavipes (yellow-footed antechinus), 2627 nucleotides long. RefSeq lists it as uncharacterized. The record is from RefSeq and is a predicted model, not a curated record. The transcript is spliced from 2 exons. NCBI's taxonomy places the organism in Eukaryota, Metazoa, Chordata, Mammalia, Dasyuromorphia, Dasyuridae.